UGACACUGAACAUUGAGCCUUGAUGUGUAGGAUAGGUGGGAGGCUUUGAAGUGUGGACGCCAGUCUGCAUGGAGCCGGCCUUGAAAUACCACCCUUUAAUGUUUGAUGUUCUAACGUUGGCCCCUGAUCGGGGUUGCGGACAGUGUCUGGUGGGUAGUUUGACUGGGGCGGUCUCCUCCUAAAGAGUAACGGAGGAGCACGAAGGUUGGCUAAUCCUGGUCGGACAUCAGGAGGUUAGUGCAAUGGCAUAAGCCA
This 255-nucleotide ribosomal RNA is filed under the name Escherichia coli. RNAcentral describes it as "partial 23S ribosomal RNA". It matches the Rfam family "Bacterial large subunit ribosomal RNA", at positions 2112 to 2366 of the family's 2925-position model. Lineage: Bacteria; Pseudomonadati; Pseudomonadota; Gammaproteobacteria; Enterobacterales; Enterobacteriaceae. The record is from RNAcentral.